Molecule: non-coding RNA, 651 nt
Organism: Punica granatum (pomegranate)
Lineage: Eukaryota; Viridiplantae; Streptophyta; Magnoliopsida; Myrtales; Lythraceae
Source: RefSeq, a predicted model, not a curated record
AAGCAAGGGAACAUGGAGGUUAUAGUGAUGUAGGCUUGGCUGCUCUAUAAAUACCAGGCUUGGGAGAUUAUAGAGAACACGCACAUACUCAUUGAUUCAGACUUGAAGAUCUGUCAAAAUGCUCCUAUAAUAUUUUUCUUUCAGCUAGUUCUUCUGUUUCUCUGUAUGGCUUGAACUGACCAUCGAGAUUAGAAGUUUGAUUACGCAUAUCCUCAUAUUCUCGAGACGUAUUGUCUCUGGCACGCCGUUUUCCUGCAAACAGUAUUUUGUGGCACCGCCCGGUGGGACCUAUUGAAGAAUUCAAGACAUGCCUCCAUGCGAGCAGCCUCCUGCAAACCCUAAAAAGGCCCUUCAGGUCGAAUCUGCUGCAGCCCGUCAAGCAGUUGUGGAGAACUCGGCAGCCGACAGAAACGUCAAUCCUAUUAGCAUGUUGUCUCAUUUUAUUGAGACCAUGGCCAUUGACAUCAAACAAGGUCAGUAGAAUAUGAAUCGUUCCAUGUAAAUAUGACGGCUAGUAUAGCCCAGUCUAUUCCUAUAUUUGUAAAGUUUUCCCUUAUUUAUAAUAUAGGCUUCAACAUCAAUCUGUUAGAUCCCAUUUGACUCUGGAUACUAUGGUACAUACCGAAAAACAAAUGAUCAAUCUGUUAUUCA